RNAcentral lists this ribosomal RNA (227 nucleotides) under Gammarus fasciatus. Its description in RNAcentral is "partial 16S ribosomal RNA". Lineage: Eukaryota; Metazoa; Arthropoda; Malacostraca; Amphipoda; Gammaridae. The record is from RNAcentral.
AAAGUUGAGGUAAGAAUUCUUUAAUCUUCUAGGGGACGAUAAGACCCUAGAAGCUUAACAUUAAGUUAAACUGAUAGUUUAAGUUGAGUUUUUGUUUUACUGGGGCGGUAGAGAUAAAUAAGCUAUUUGAGUACGAAAGAUCUUUAAAAUUAAGAUAGCUGGAAAUAGUUACUCUAGGGAUAACAGUGUAAUACUUUUGGAGAGAUCUUAUUGAUAAAUGAGUUUGC